CUCCUCCUUGCUUCUCUCCCUCCUCUCUAUCUCUGAUUCUCUCCCUGCUUAUCACUGUACUCUGCCCUUCUAGCUUCUCUCCCUCCUAUCUUUCUCUAACCGCUUACUUCUCUACUCUUGAUCCAUUUACGCCCUGUUUCUCUCCCUCCUCUCUAUCUAAUUCUCUCCCUGCUUAUCCCCACUCUGUCCCUUUCUGAUUCUCUCCCUUCUUAUUGCCCCACUUGGC
This is a non-coding RNA of Pelobates cultripes (western spadefoot toad), 226 nucleotides long. The record is from the annotation of a GenBank genome assembly. NCBI's taxonomy places the organism in Eukaryota, Metazoa, Chordata, Amphibia, Anura, Pelobatidae.